This 462-nucleotide ribosomal RNA is filed under the name uncultured bacterium. RNAcentral describes it as "partial 16S ribosomal RNA". It matches the Rfam family "Bacterial small subunit ribosomal RNA", at positions 29 to 507 of the family's 1533-position model. The record is from RNAcentral.
ACGAACGCUGGCGGCGUGCUUAACACAUGCAAGUCGAGCGGUAAGGCCCUUCGGGGUACACGAGCGGCGAACGGGUGAGUAACACGUGAGUAAUCUGCCCAUCACUUCGGGAUAACUCCGGGAAACCGGUGCUAAUACCGAAUAUGACCACUUCAGGCAUCUGAUGGUGGUGGAAAGUUCCGGCGGUGAUGGAUGAGCUCGCGGCCUAUCAGCUUGUUGGUGGGGUAGUGGCCUACCAAGGCUUCGACGGGUAGCCGGCCUGAGAGGGUGACCGGCCACACUGGGACUGAGACACGGCCCAGACUCCUACGGGAGGCAGCAGUGGGGAAUAUUGGACAAUGGGCGAAAGCCUGAUCCAGCAACGCCGCGUGAGGGAUGACGGCCUUCGGGUUGUAAACCUCUUUCAGCAGGGACGAAGCGCAAGUGACGGUACCUGCAGAAGAAGCACCGGCCAACUACGUG